RNAcentral lists this ribosomal RNA (254 nucleotides) under uncultured bacterium. RNAcentral describes it as "partial 16S ribosomal RNA". It matches the Rfam family "Bacterial small subunit ribosomal RNA", at positions 524 to 776 of the family's 1533-position model. The record is from RNAcentral.
UACGUAGGGGGCGAGCGUUGUCCGGAUUUAUUGGGCGUAAAGAGCUCGCAGGCGGUUUGGCAAGUCGGGUGUGAAAACUCCGGGCUCAACUCGGAGACGCCACUCGAUACUGCUAUGACUCGAGUCCGGUAGGGGAGUGCGGAAUUCCUGGUGUAGCGGUGAAAUGCGCAGAUAUCAGGAGGAACACCGGUGGCGAAGGCGGCACUCUGGGCCGGUACUGACGCUGAGGAGCGAAAGCGUGGGGAGCGAACAGG